Molecule: long non-coding RNA, 167 nt
Organism: Sphaeramia orbicularis (orbiculate cardinalfish)
Lineage: Eukaryota; Metazoa; Chordata; Actinopteri; Kurtiformes; Apogonidae
Exons: 3
Source: RefSeq, a predicted model, not a curated record
UGGUUGUAACUUUUUUUCUACAAGUGGUAUUUUAAAAAGGAUAACAGUUCCAUAAAAUAGAGAUCUUUAGCUAAAAAAUCUGCCCACUUAAUAAAUGAUGUGUACAAAUUUACUUUUUCAUGUUGAUGUUCACUUUUGCUUGAUCGGACCCUAUAAUGAAAACAUGG